GGGUCUUCUGCAAGAACAACCAGUGUUCUUAACCACUGUGCCAUCUCUCAAGCCCCCACAAUAAAAUCUUAAUACUAUGAAUGUCAGCUCUCCAAGCAACACAAGAAAAUCCAUGGGAAGAUAAGUACAGUAUCACAUUGGAAGUGAACUUUCACCAAUCUCAGUCCUUAAAUAAUGACUCCUUGUAGUGCAAUGCCAUUCCCAAACCAUGAAGAGGUCUCCCUUGUGUAACAGAGGCCUGUCCAGCCUAGACACCUGGCUGCCUCGCAGACACUGCAUUUCAGCAGGGAGAUGGGAUAGACAUGCUCUUCUUGAUAUCCCUGAGAGCACCCAGCCCAGCCACAGCACCCGACGUGCGCUGGAACAAGUCUCCAGAACCUCCACCAUCACCUUCUUCACUUUCCUGGACACAGCCGUAAACAGGCUUCUACCAAAGUCUUCCCAGU
Long non-coding RNA from Nannospalax galili (Upper Galilee mountains blind mole rat), 446 nucleotides. RefSeq lists it as uncharacterized. NCBI's taxonomy places the organism in Eukaryota, Metazoa, Chordata, Mammalia, Rodentia, Spalacidae. The transcript has 2 exons. The record is from RefSeq and is a predicted model, not a curated record.